UCAGAACAUGGGUGAUAAGGUCCGUGUUCGAAAGGGAAACAGCCCAGACCACCAGCUAAGGUCCCAAAAUAUAUGUUAAGUGGAAAAGGAUGUGGCGUUGCCCAGACAACUAGGAUGUUGGCUUAGAAGCAGCCAUCAUUUAAAGAGUGCGUAAUAGCUCACUAGUCGAGUGACACUGCGCCGAAAAUGUACCGGGGCUAAACAUAUUACCGAAGCUGUGGAUUGUCCUUUGGACAAUGGUAGGAGAGCGUUCUAAGGGCGUUGAAGCAUGAUCGUAAGGACAUGUGGAGCGCUUAGAAGUGAGAAUGCCGGUGUGAGUAGCGAAAGACGGGUGAGAAUCCCGUCCACCGAUUGACUAAGGUUUCCAGAGGAAGGCUCGUCCGCUCUGGGUUAGUCGGGUCCUAAGCUGAGGCCGACAGGCGUAGGCGAUGGAUAACAGGUUGAUAUUCCUGUACCACCUAUAAUCGUUUUAAUCGAUGGGGGGACGCAGUAGGAUAGGCGAAGCGUGCGAUUGGAUUGCACGUCUAAGCAGUAAGGCUGAGUAUUAGGCAAAUCCGGUACUCGUUAAGGCUGAGCUGUGAUGGGGAGAAGACAUUGUGUCUUCGAGUCGUUGAUUUCACACUGCCGAGAAAAGCCUCUAGAUAGAAAAUAGGUGCCCGUACCGCAAACCGACACAGGUAGUCAAGAUGAGAAUUCUAAGGUGAGCGAGCGAACUCUCGUUAAGGAACUCGGCAAAAUGACCCCGUAACUUCGGGAGAAGGGGUGCUCUUUAGGGUUAACGCCCAGAAGAGCCGCAGUGAAUAGGCCCAAGCGACUGUUUAUCAAAAACACAGGUCUCUGCUAAACCGUAAGGUGAUGUAUAGGGGCUGACGCCUGCCCGGUGCUGGAAGGUUAAGAGGAGUGGUUAGCUUCUGCGAAGCUACGAAUCGAAGCCCCAGUAAACGGCGGCCGUAACUAUAACGGUCCUAAGGUAGCGAAAUUCCUUGUCGGGUAAGUUCCGACCCGCACGAAAGGCGUAACGAUUUGGGCACUGUCUCAACGAGAGACUCGGUGAAAUCAUAGUACCUGUGAAGAUGCAGGUUACCCGCGACAGGACGGAAAGACCCCGUGGAGCUUUACUGUAGCCUGAUAUUGAAAUUCGGCACAGCUUGUACAGGAUAGGUAGGAGCCUUUGAAACGUGAGCGCUAGCUUACGUGGAGGCGCUGGUGGGAUACUACCCUAGCUGUGUUGGCUUUCUAACCCGCACCACUUAUCGUGGUGGGAGACAGUGUCAGGCGGGCAGUUUGACUGGGGCGGUCGCCUCCUAAAAGGUAACGGAGGCGCUCAAAGGUUCCCUCAGAAUGGUUGGAAAUCAUUCAUAGAGUGUAAAGGCAUAAGGGAGCUUGACUGCGAGACCUACAAGUCGAGCAGGGUCGAAAGACGGACUUAGUGAUCCGGUGGUUCCGCAUGGAAGGGCCAUCGCUCAACGGAUAAAAGCUACCCCGGGGAUAACAGGCUUAUCUCCCCCAAGAGUUCACAUCGACGGGGAGGUUUGGCACCUCGAUGUCGGCUCAUCGCAUCCUGGGGCUGUAGUCGGUCCCAAGGGUUGGGCUGUUCGCCCAUUAAAGCGGUACGCGAGCUGGGUUCAGAACGUCGUGAGACAGUUCGGUCCCUAUCCGUCGUGGGCGUAGGAAAUUUGAGAGGAGCUGUCCUUAGUACGAGAGGACCGGGAUGGACAUACCUCUGGUGUACCAGUUGUCGUGCCAACGGCAUAGCUGGGUAGCUAUGUGUGGACGGGAUAAGUGCUGAAAGCAUCUAAGCAUGAAGCCCCCCUCAAGAUGAGAUUUCCCAACUUCGGUUAUAAGAUCCCUCAAAGAUGAUGAGGUUAAUAGGUUCGAGGUGGAAGCAUGGUGACAUGUGGAGCUGACGAAUACUAAUCGAUCGAAGACUUAAUCAA
Molecule: ribosomal RNA, 1937 nt
Filed under: Staphylococcus aureus
Lineage: Bacteria; Bacillati; Bacillota; Bacilli; Caryophanales; Staphylococcaceae
Description: partial 23S ribosomal RNA
Rfam family: Bacterial large subunit ribosomal RNA
Source: RNAcentral